GUGAGGAAUUUUCCGCAAUGGGCGAAAGCCUGACGGAGCAAUGUCGCGUGAAGGAUGAAGGCCUAUGGGUUGUAAACUUCUUUUCUCAGAAAAGAAUUAUGACGGUAUCUGAGGAAUAAGCAUCGGCUAACUCUGUGCCAGCAGCCGCGGUAAGACAGAGGAUGCAAGCGUUAUCCGGAAUGAUUGGGCGUAAAGCGUCUGUAGGUUGUUUAAAAAGUAUUCUGUCAAAGAUUAGGGCUUAACCCUAGAUAGGCAGAAUAAACUUUUAAGCUAGAGUUUGGUAGAGGCAGAGGGAAUUCCCGGUGGAGCGGUGAAAUGCGUAGAUAUCGGGAGGAACACCAAAGGCGAAGGCACUCUGCUGGGCCAAUACUAACACUGAGAGACGAAAGCGAGGGGAGCAAAUGGGAUUAGAAACCCUGGUAGUCC
This 426-nucleotide ribosomal RNA is filed under the name uncultured bacterium. Its description in RNAcentral is "partial 16S ribosomal RNA". It matches the Rfam family "Bacterial small subunit ribosomal RNA", at positions 354 to 796 of the family's 1533-position model. The record is from RNAcentral.